Molecule: long non-coding RNA, 266 nt
Organism: Ochotona curzoniae (black-lipped pika)
Lineage: Eukaryota; Metazoa; Chordata; Mammalia; Lagomorpha; Ochotonidae
Exons: 3
Source: RefSeq, a predicted model, not a curated record
CCCCACGGAAUAAGUCCUUUCUCCUGCCAGGAGAGGUAAUCUCAUCCAAUUUCAUGAGUCAUCUUCAAAUCACACCAACUUCACCCAACCACCUUACCUUCACAUCCACGUUUUUCUUUUGGACUUCACACCCAGAGCACCAUAUUUUUCCUCCUAGAAAGAAUAGUUGGAGAGCAUCUCAAAGACAUGACCCUGGCAAUUACAGUUCCUUCAGGCUGCAUGACCUCCUGAGGUAUAGUGGCUGGCUCUUUAGUGGGAAGGGCAAG